RNAcentral lists this ribosomal RNA (542 nucleotides) under uncultured archaeon. RNAcentral's name for it is "bacterial SSU rRNA". It matches the Rfam family "Archaeal small subunit ribosomal RNA", at positions 327 to 869 of the family's 1478-position model. The record is from RNAcentral.
GGGGUGCACCAGGCGCGAAAACUUUACAAUGCUGGCAACAGCGAUAAGGGGACCUCGAGUGCCAGGAUACAAUGUUGGCUGUCGCGACGCCUAAAAAGCAUUGCAUAGCAAGGGCCGGGCAAGACCGGUGCCAGCCGCCGCGGUAACACCGGCGGCUCGAGUGGUAACCGCUAUUAUUGGGUCUAAAGGGUCUGUAGCCGGCCGGAUAAGUCUUUUGGGAAAUCCAGCUGCUCAACAGUUGGUCUUUCAGAAGAUACUUCUCGGCUUGAGACCGGGAGAGGUGAGAGGUACUUCAGGGGUAGGGGUGAAAUCUUGUAAUCCUUGAAGGACCACCAGUGGCGAAGGCGUCUCACCAGAACGGAUCUGACGGCAAGGGACGAAAGCUAGGGGCACGAACCGGAUUAGAUACCCGGGUAGUCCUAGCCGUAAACGAUACUCGCUAGGUGUCACCCCCGUUGCGACCGUGGUUGGUGCCGUAGGGAAGCCGUGAAGCGAGCCACCUGGGAAGUACGGCCGCAAGACUGAAACUUAAAGGAAUUGGC